UGAAAUGGUUGAAAAUAUCAAAUACCUAUUAUCAAACUUUAUGGUUUCCUUGCGGCGUUGAGUGCUCUGGGUGUCUUCGUUGUACAUGGUUUUGUUACUCCUAAUUUCUCCAACUAUAUCUGUUAACCAAGAUAAACAUAAACGCUACUUAUUAUAUAGCGUGCUUGUAGUGAAGCUUUAGCUAUUCAAACCUGAAAAAAUGAGUGCUGGUAUUGGCAAGUGACAUGAGCUACUCGUAUUGCGGAACCUGAAGCUCUCCC
Molecule: long non-coding RNA, 260 nt
Filed under: Brassica rapa (field mustard)
Lineage: Eukaryota; Viridiplantae; Streptophyta; Magnoliopsida; Brassicales; Brassicaceae
Description: long non-coding RNA (BRAP_LNC006533)
Source: RNAcentral